AAUGAACGCUGGCGGCAUGCCUAACACAUGCAAGUCGAACGACACCUCCGGGCAUGGUGGCGCACGGGUGCGUAACGCGGGGGAAUCUGCCUUUCGGCUCGGAAUAACUCAGGGAAACUUGAGCUAAUACCGGGUAACGUCCCAAGACCAAACAUUUGUCCACGACGGAUGAGCCCACGUAGUAUUAGCUAGUUGGUGAGGUAAGGGCUUAUCAAGGCGUCGAUCCUUAGCUGGUCUGAGAGGCGGAUAAGCCACACUGGGACUGAGAAACGGCCCAGACACCUACGGGAGGCAGCAGCCGGGAAUCUUACGCGAGGGGGGAAAGCCUGAUAGAGGAAUACGGCGUGAGGGAUGAAGGAGUUAGGCUUGUAAAGUGCUUUUGUUCGGAAAGAAAUAAAGCGCGUUUAUACCGGGAGGUAAUGACGGUACCGGAAGAAUAAGCACCGGCUAACUCCGUG
Molecule: ribosomal RNA, 458 nt
Filed under: uncultured bacterium
Lineage: Bacteria
Description: partial 16S ribosomal RNA
Rfam family: Bacterial small subunit ribosomal RNA
Source: RNAcentral